This 343-nucleotide unclassified non-coding RNA is filed under the name soil metagenome. RNAcentral describes it as "partial contains 5.8S ribosomal RNA, internal transcribed spacer 2, and large subunit ribosomal RNA". The stretch from base 1 to 120 matches the Rfam family "5.8S ribosomal RNA", at positions 35 to 154 of the family's 154-position model. The record is from RNAcentral.
GAUGAAGAACGCAGCGAAAUGCGAUACGUAAUGUGAAUUGCAGAAUUCAGUGAAUCAUCGAGUCUUUGAACGCACAUUGCGCCCCCUGGUAUUCCGGGGGGCAUGCCUGUCCGAGCGUCAUUGCUGCCCUCAAGCACGGCUUGUGUGUUGGGCCUCCGUCCUCCUCCCGGGGGACGGGCCCGAAAGGCAGCGGCGGCACCGCGUCCGGUCCUCGAGCGUAUGGGGCUUCGUCACCCGCUCUUGUAGGCCCGGCCGGCGCUUGCCGACACAUCAAUCUUUUUUCCAGGUUGACCUCGGAUCAGGUAGGGAUACCCGCUGAACUUAAGCAUAUCAAUAACGGGGA